GUGCCCUAGAAAAGGAGAGACGUUUGGCAGCCCCCUGCGCAAGGUCGGAUGUUAACUCUCUCUCUGAGGCGUUAAGUCCACAAAGUGGCGCGUUUUUU
Molecule: non-coding RNA, 98 nt
Filed under: Mesocestoides corti
Lineage: Eukaryota; Metazoa; Platyhelminthes; Cestoda; Cyclophyllidea; Mesocestoididae
Source: RNAcentral